CGAGUCAUGGACUGGACUUGAUUCGAAGGGRAUKGAUCCCGUAGCGUUAUGURAGAUGGGGACCCCAUGGCGAGCGACCUCUGUUCUUACUGACGCUGAGGCGCGAAGCGGGGAGCGAACAGAUAAUACCUGUAGUCACSCGUAACGAUGAGUGCUAAGUGUUAGAGGGUUCCGCCUUUAGUGCUGCAGCAAACGCAUUAAGCACUCCCCUGGGGAGUACGGUCGCAAGACUGAAACUCAAAGGAAUUGACGGGGGCCCGCACAAGCGGUGGAGCAUGYGGUUUAAUUCGAAGCAACGCGAAGAACCUUACCAGGUCUUGACAUCCUCUGACAACCCUAGAGAUAGGGCUUCCCCUUCGGGGGCAGAGUGACAGGUGGUGCAUGGUUGUCGUCAGCUCGUGUCGUGAGAUGUUGGGUUAAGUCCCGCAACGAGCGCAACCCUUGAUCUUAGUUGCCAGCAUUCAGUUGGGCACUCUAAGGUGACUGCCGGUGACAAACCGGAGGAAGGUGGGGAUGACGUCAAAUCAUCAUGCCCCUUAUGACCUGGGCUACACACGUGCUACAAUGGGCAGAACAAAGGGCAGCGAAGCCGCGAGGCUAAGCCAAUCCCACAAAUCUGUUCUCAGUUCGGAUCGCAGUCUGCAACUCGACUGCGUGAAGCUGGAAUCGCUAGUAAUCGCGGAUCAGCAUGCCGCGGUGAAUACGUUCCCGGGCCUUGUACACACCGCCCGUCACACCACGAGAGUUUGUAACACCCGAAGUCGGUGAGGUAACCUUUUGGAGCCAGCCGCCGAAGGUGGGACAGAUGAUUGGGGGAAGUCGUAACAAGGUAGCCGUAUYGGAAGGUKCCC
This 851-nucleotide ribosomal RNA is filed under the name Bacillus licheniformis. RNAcentral describes it as "bacterial SSU rRNA". It matches the Rfam family "Bacterial small subunit ribosomal RNA", at positions 630 to 1517 of the family's 1533-position model. Lineage: Bacteria; Bacillati; Bacillota; Bacilli; Caryophanales; Bacillaceae. The record is from RNAcentral.